RNAcentral lists this ribosomal RNA (774 nucleotides) under Ophthalmopsylla praefecta praefecta. RNAcentral describes it as "SSU rRNA". It matches the Rfam family "Eukaryotic small subunit ribosomal RNA", at positions 48 to 762 of the family's 1831-position model. Lineage: Eukaryota; Metazoa; Arthropoda; Insecta; Siphonaptera; Leptopsyllidae. The record is from RNAcentral.
GCCAUGCAUGUCUCAGUGCAAGCCACAUUAAGGUGAAACCGCGAAUGGCUCAUUACAUCAGUUAUGGUUCCUUAGAUCGUACCCACAUUACUUGGAUAACUGUGGUAAUUCUAGAGCUAAUACAUGCAAAUAGAGUUCCGACCAGAGAUGGAAGGAAUGCUUUUAUUAGAUCAAAACCAAUCGGUGGCGGGCUUGCCUUGCUCACCGUUUGACUUGGUGACUCUGAAUAACUUUCUGCUGAUCGCACGGUCUCGUACCGGCGACGCAUCUUUCAAAUGUCUGCCUUAUCAACUGUCGAUGGUAGUUUCUGCGACUACCAUGGUUGUUACGGGUAACGGGGAAUCAGGGUUCGAUUCCGGAGAGGGAGCCUGAGAAACGGCUACCACAUCCAAGGAAGGCAGCAGGCGCGCAAAUUACCCACUCCCGGCACGGGGAGGUAGUGACGAAAAAUAACGAUACGGGACUCAUCCGAGGCCCCGUAAUCGGAAUGAGUACACUUUAAAUCCUUUCACGAUUAACAAUUGGAGGGCAAGCCUGGUGCCAGCAGCCGCGGUAAUUCCAGCUCCAAUAGCGUAUAUUAAAGUUGUUGCGGUUAAAAAGCUCGUAGUUGAAUCUGUGUCCCACACUGUCGGUUCACCGCUCGCGGUGUCCAACUGGCAUGUCUGUGGGACGUCCUGCCGGUGGGCGCAGCCCCUCAAAAGGCGGCCCAACUUGAAAUCCUACCACGGUGCUCUUCACCGAGUGUCGAGGUGGGCCGGUACGUUUACUUUGAAC